Episyrphus balteatus (marmalade hoverfly) is the source of this 1959-nucleotide long non-coding RNA. RefSeq lists it as uncharacterized. The transcript has 8 exons. NCBI's taxonomy places the organism in Eukaryota, Metazoa, Arthropoda, Insecta, Diptera, Syrphidae. The record is from RefSeq and is a predicted model, not a curated record.
AAAAAAAUUUCGAAAUUCAACAAUUGAUUAGCAACUUUUAUAUUUCCAUUCGAAACAAAAUUAUCAGGGCUAUUCGUGAAUUGUGAUACUCGACCGAGAGAAGUCUAUACCUUUCAAUCAAGUCAACACUUCUAAUCCUCUUGUCGCUGAUGAGGAUGCUCUUAUUCAGCGUCGAUCCAAAAAACAAAUUGGUGGAUUCAUUUAAUCAAAAGUUUAACCAGAACCCAAGGGAAGGGUAGUGAACCCCAACAGAGCCAUUUGCCUUAUUUUCUGGAUAUACCAUUGAGAACAAUAAGUAUAUCAAGUCCGCCACUUGGCGCAGGAGCUGUUGGUGAUGCUGAUCCAUGGAACUCCUCUCCAGCUAGAGCUGCAAAGUCAACUCUUUGUUGAGUUUUAUUUAGCAACUUGUGCUCUCUGAUCCUUGGUCAGGUACAUCGUACAUCGUCACCACAAAUCGAUGCUUGACAUGCCAAUGUUCCUUAAGCAUCUGGUGGUGCUGCUGGUGGUGUUGAAGGAUGUCUCACACAAUAUACUCAAUCACCAUCUGUAGCUUCUGGUUCCUUCUGACUGCAGAGCAACAUCUUUCAAAUGAUACCAUGAAUGGCAAUUCAUCAACCUCACUAUAUCUGAUCCUUGGUUAUCGAAAACUUCAGCUAUAGGAGCAGCAACUGCUGCAUCUCCACCGUCUCUACCAUUAGUUCAAAAUACCAGACCAGUAGUGGUUCGGGUGAUCCUUCGCUGCUUGUAUAUGUAUAUGAAGCAAAAUCAUUAGAAAAAUCAUCAUCAAGAUCCUUGGGCACCAAAAGCUCAACCAAUCUCUGCUAAUAAUGGUGAUCCAUGGAGGAGAACUAGAAAUGAGGCAUCGUCAGUGGCAAAUGUUUCACCUGAUUUGGAUGACUGAUAUAAAUACGAAUAGAGUGGAGACUACACGACACUUGGCCCAAACAUUAACAAUUCAUCACUUUUGGAUAAAUUGGAUCCAUUAUCAACAAGAAACCAUCAUUGAAAAAACCGCAAUCGUUCUUGGGUCAAAAGUCAGCGUUAGUGAAUUUGGACAAUUUAGUUAAACCAAUUGCGACGAGCAAUACAAUUGGCAGUGUAGCUUCCAGCGUACAAUAAAUUUAGUGAUACAAUUGCACCUAAAAAAAUCUAGUGUAACGUCGUCAGUACUAUAAUUGCCUUUGUUAAUCGCAAUAGUACCAACUGAGCGCAGAUCGAGGAGGCAGCUUUGCCCACAUGACUCAUCACAUCAGUUCAAGUUUCGAAGGAUUUGAACCAUCGGGUAGCAUACGUAUGUACUUCGUCGAUUAAAACACCAAGUAUUGAUUCCAGUGAAAUCGUAUCUACUCAGUAAGUGGAUUCCAUAUCUACUCCCGAUAUAUGGAACAAGUCUAGGACAGGAGACACGUUUGGAAGCUCGAACUCAUCACCAAAGACUGAGCAUUGUUUUGUCAAAGUAAACACAAGAGUAAUCCAUUACUCGAAGACUUGCUCACUUGCAGGAAAUCACUACUCAUGUAUAUCAAAUGAAUGACUUCAAAGAAUUACUAUGCUUGAGAGUAUUCAAAAUACUUGCCUGUAUAAAACCAAAUCGAUUUAGAACAUCCAAGUGAGAGCGAUAUAAAUCUGGCGAGCCAUAUAGAAUAAAAAGCAGUUCAUCUUCCUGUAUUUUCACAGACAAUUUCGCUUCAGACAUUCAAUUUCGAAAACUGGAUUCUCUACUUAUUGUUGAGAAAUAUGUUAAAGAUCUUUUAUUGAAUUUCAUAAUUAGAAGUAACAGGACAUUGGCUUAUAAAUGAGUUUAGCGUGUGCUUAUUUUAACAGAAUAAGAUUUAUAUUAUAUUUUUGUACAAGGUCAAUACAUAUUUUUUUCAUCUCUAUUUUUAAAAUAUGCAAUGUUACAAAUAGUGUUCUUUUUUAUUAAUAAAUGGUACAAAACCUAGAGUAUUAUCAAACUUA